GUCUUCCCGCCCCGCGCCUGUGGCCCAGCGCUCCUUUGGUCUCCGGGUUUGUGGACCCCUGCGGCCGUCGCCCGGCUGGCGCCAGGCCGGCUCGGCGGAGGGAGGGCCUGGGCGGUGGGUAGGCGGGAGGGAGGUUACCUUUCCCUGUCUCCCCCCCGGGCCGCCUGAGGCGGGAGGAAGCAGCGGCAAAGUCCGUGGGCGGCAUGGCAGGCGCUCCGGAUGAACGCGGCCCGGGCCCCGCUGCGGGGGAGCAGCUGCAGCAGCAACACGUCGGGUGCCAAGUCUUCCCGGAGCGGCUGGCUCAGGGGAAGCCACAGCAAGGGUUCCUCUCCAGCUUCUUCACCAACAACCAGAAGUGCCAGCUUAUGCUCUUGCAGACGUUGGAGACAAGUAGGAGCCAUCCAUAUGUUAAACUGCUGCUUGAUGCCAUGAAGCAUUCGGGUUGCGCUGUUAACAAAGAAAGACACUUUUCUUGUGAAGAUUGUAAUGGAAAUGUCAGUGGAGGUUUUGAUGCUUCAGUGUCUCAGAUUGUUUUGUGCCAGAAUAAUAUCUGUAAUCAGGCCCAUAUGAACAGAGUGGUCACCCAUGAGCUCAUUCAUGCUUUCGAUCAUUGUCGAGCUCAUGUCGACUGGUUCACCGACGUCAGGCACUUGGCCUGCUCUGAGGUUCGAGCUGCUAACCUUAGUGGAGACUGCUCACUUUUAAAUGAAAUACUCAGGUUACAUUUUGGAUUAAAACAACACCAUCAGACUUGUGUGCGAGACAGAGCCAUUCGUUCUAUCCUGGCUGUUAGGAACAUCAGCAAAGAAGUAGCUCAGAAGGCUGUUGAUGAAGUUUUUGAAUCUUGUUUCAAUGACCAUGAACCUUUUGGAAGGAUCCCUCAUAAUAAGACCUAUGCAAGAUAUGCUCAUAGAGACUUUCAAAACCGGGAUCGGUACUACUCAAAUAUAUGAAGACGAUGACAUUUUAUAUUGCAGAGCUUCAGUGAUCAUGAAGAAAGUAUGGUUCCCAAGUGGACAAACAUAAAACGUAAAUGAUCAAUUAAAUACAGAGAAGACACAGAAGAUGCUGAUUCUAGCAUCAGAAAAAGUAACUGUGUGUAUAGAAACACAGCAGAUUCAACAGCAUAUUAACAAGACCAUACACCGUGACCAAGUGGGAUUUAUUCCUGGUCACACACCAUGACCAAGUGGGAUUUAUUCCUGGAUCACACACCAUGACCAAGUGGAAUUUAUUCCUGGAGUGCAAGGAUGGUUCAACAUAUGAAAAUUGAUCAGUGUAAUAUACCACAUUAACAGAGUGAAGGAAAACUAUAAUUUGAAAAGAAGCAUGCACCCCAAUGUUCAUAGCAGCACUGUUCACAGUAGCCAAGACAUGGAAGCAACCUAAAUGU
Molecule: RNA transcript, 1393 nt
Organism: Eubalaena glacialis (North Atlantic right whale)
Lineage: Eukaryota; Metazoa; Chordata; Mammalia; Artiodactyla; Balaenidae
Gene: ATP23
Gene name: ATP23 metallopeptidase and ATP synthase assembly factor homolog
Exons: 7
Source: RefSeq, a predicted model, not a curated record